This 503-nucleotide ribosomal RNA is filed under the name uncultured bacterium. RNAcentral's name for it is "bacterial SSU rRNA". It matches the Rfam family "Bacterial small subunit ribosomal RNA", at positions 36 to 518 of the family's 1533-position model. The record is from RNAcentral.
CGCCUGGCGGCGUGCUUAACACAUGCAAGUCGAAGGAGAUUCAGCAAUGGAUCUUAGUGGCGAACGGGUGAGUAACGCGUAGGCAAUCUGCCUUCUAGAUGGGGACAACAUCCCGAAAGGGGUGCUAAUACCGAAUGUUGUAUGAUUUUUCGCAUGGAGAUGAUACUAAAGGUGGCCUCUGAAUAUGCUACCGCUAGAAGAUGAGCCUGCGUCUGAUUAGCUAGUUGGAGGGGUAACGGCCCACCAAGGCUUCGAUCAGUAGCCGGUCUGAGAGGAUGAACGGCCACACUGGGACUGAGACACGGCCCAGACUCCUACGGGAGGCAGCAGUGGGGAAUCUUCCGCAAUGGACGAAAGUCUGACGGAGCAACGCCGCGUGAAGUGAAGAAGGUUUUCGGAUCGUAAAGCUCUUUCGUUAGGGACGAACGUGCUCUUUGUGAAUAAUGAGGAGUAAUGACGGUACCUAAAUAAGAAGCCACGGCUAACUACGUGCCAGCCGCAGC